This is an unclassified non-coding RNA of Pongo abelii (Sumatran orangutan), 148 nucleotides long. It matches the Rfam family "Metazoan signal recognition particle RNA". Rfam says of the family: The signal recognition particle (SRP) is a universally conserved ribonucleoprotein. The record is from Ensembl. NCBI's taxonomy places the organism in Eukaryota, Metazoa, Chordata, Mammalia, Primates, Hominidae.
GCUGGGUGUGGUGGUGUGCACCUGUAGUCCCAGCUACUCGGGAGGCUGAGGCAGGGGAAUCGCUUGAACCUAGGAGGUGGAGGUUGCAGUGAGCUGAGACUGUGCCAUUGCACUCUAGCCUGGGUAACAGAGCAAGACUCUGUCUCGA